This 279-nucleotide ribosomal RNA is filed under the name uncultured bacterium. Its description in RNAcentral is "partial 16S ribosomal RNA". It matches the Rfam family "Bacterial small subunit ribosomal RNA", at positions 506 to 784 of the family's 1533-position model. The record is from RNAcentral.
UGCCAGCCGCCGCGGUAAUACGGAGGGUCCGAGCGUUGUCCGGAAUUAUUGGGUUUAAAGGGUGCGUAGGCGGCCUUGUAAGUCAGUGGUGAAAUUUCACGGCUCAACUGUGAAAGUGCCAUUGAAACUACUUGGCUUGAGUACUGUAGAGGCAGGCGGAAUUCCUGAUGUAGCGGUGAAAUGCACAGAUAUCAGGAGGAACACCGAGAGCGAAGGCAGCUUGCCGGACAGUAACUGACGCUGAGGCACGAAAGCGUGGGGAGCGAACAGGAUUAGAUA